Non-coding RNA from Drosophila suzukii, 163 nucleotides. The record is from RefSeq and is a predicted model, not a curated record. NCBI's taxonomy places the organism in Eukaryota, Metazoa, Arthropoda, Insecta, Diptera, Drosophilidae.
GCUUAUCAACCCCCCCAUACAAGCUAUUUUACACCAAGGACAAGGUUUAGCGAAGGCGACCUCACCACGGUCAGAUUGGAGCUAAGCGAACACACCCAUCACACCAUAGUAUCAUUCUAUCUGGCUCACGACUACGAAGGGCCACUACCAAACACCACUACAC